This is a long non-coding RNA of Bos taurus (domestic cattle), 2099 nucleotides long. NCBI's taxonomy places the organism in Eukaryota, Metazoa, Chordata, Mammalia, Artiodactyla, Bovidae. The record is from Ensembl.
ACUGGAGGGAUCUGACCUUGGAGGUUGCAUUUCAGAUUCUCCUGAUGGCUAGGGAGACAGUUCUAGGGGUCUUGUAGGCAUAACUCUGUACUUACUCACUAAAAAGUAAACUAGAAGUUCAAGUCUUCCUUCCUUCCUGAGAGACAGUGUUUGUUGAAAUACUGAGUGAAGGGACUUCCCUGCUGAUCCAGUGGUGAAGACUACCCACUUCCACUGCAGGGGGAACAGGUUUGAUCCCUGGUUGGGUAACUAAGAUCCCAUGUGCCACACAGUGUGGCCAAAAGAACAAAAAGAAUAGUACCUGGAACAAAUGAAAAGAGUAUCCAGUGUUUUAAAAAAGAGAGAAAAAAAAAAAGAAAUACUGAGUGAAUAAACAAGCAAACAGAAGCUAUUUGCUGAAGCUAAGGAGAGAGAGAGGAUAUGGCCCUCACUUUGGAAGAGGAAUAGCCUUCAGUGGCCAUCUGUACAUAGGCCUGGAAGUAAACUACAGUGCCAAGGCCCAGAAGACCUGUUCUGAACUUUCCAGUUGCCUGGAUAUGUAGACUGGUCAGUUCCUUUCAUUGCCUAAUAAAUGAAUAACAAGAAUUCCUCUGCCUCAUCUCACAAUAACAAAUAAUGGUAUUUGCUAAAUAACAGCAAUCUGACCUAAUAAAAGAGCUUCCAAGAAAGUCACCUGUGACUGCACCACGCCAGCCUCUGCACUGGCAUUGUGACAAUAAUGGAUGACAAUACUUAGUGAAAACAUAUUUGGACAUCCACUAAGACCACCACCAGGAAAAAAAAAAACUAUCAAAAAACACCAAAACAAGGGUUUCCCUGGUGUCUCAGUGGUAAAUAAUCCACCUGCCAAUGCAGGAGACAUGAAUUCGAUUCCUGAUCCAGGAAGAGCCCACAUCCUGCGAAGCAACUAGCCUGUGUGCCGCAACUAUUAAGCCUGUACUGUAGAGCCAGGGAACAACAGCUAAUAAGCCCAUGUGCUGCAACCACUGAAACCCACAUACCCUAGAACCCGUGCUCUGCAGCAAGAGAAGCCAUCACAAUGAGAAGCCCUUGCUCUGCAACUAGAGAAAAGCCUGUGCAGCAAUGAAGACCCAGCGCAGCCAAAAGUAAAUAAAUUAUAAAACCAAAAAAAGUGUUGGCAAGAUACGGAGAAACCGGAACCCUUGUGCACUGUUGGUGGGAACGUUAAAUAGUGCACCUGCUAUGGAAAAUAGAAUGGAGAUUCCUCAAAAAAAUUACAAAUAGAAUUACUGUAUGAGCUAGGAUUUCCACUUCUGGGUAUAUACUCCCAAAAACUGAAAGCAGGUACUGGAAGAGCUAUUUAUAUAUUACAUUCAUAGCAGCAAUUAUUCACCAUAGCCACACUCUGGAAGUGACCCAAGUGUCCACUGACAGAGGAACGGAUAAACAAAAUGUGGUAUAUACAUACAAUGACAUAGUAUUCAGUCUUUAAAAGGCAGAAAAUUUUUAUACAUGCUUCAUGAUUGAACCUGGAGGGACAUUAUGCUAAGUGAAAUAAACCAAUCACAAAAGGAUAAAUACUAUAUGAUUCCACUUAUGUGAGGUUCCUUGCAGUAGUCAAAUUCAUGAAGACCGGAAGAAGAAUGGUGGGUACCAGGGCUGAGGAGAGAGGGAAUGGGGAUUAGUGUUUAAGUAUAAUGUUUAGUUGAAAAUAUUCUGGAGAUGUGAAUGUACUUAAUGGUAUGCUUUCUUUUUUAACUACCAACAACAUUCAGGGGGGAAAGGGUGGCAUGACAUGGAAGAGAAAAUAUAACUUGUUUAACGCUUUACUGGCGGACUGUGCUAUUCUUUUCCCUUAGGGAAGCCAGAGUUUACAAGAGGAGACAUUCAGGAGGCAACAGUAAAGGUUUGGUUUGUUUGUUUAUGGACUGUGGCUUCAGUUGGUUAUUAACAGGCUGCCUGUGACAGGGAUUGAAGUCUAUUUUACAAUGGUCUUGGCCUUUCCCAUAAGGAUCCUGAGCUCUACUUCUGAGAGUCCUAUGCUUCCAACAAAUGUUCAUAGAUUUAAAUGGAACGAUCUGAGUUACCCUCAGUUAUUUGACUUAAGUCUUGAGCCCGCCCCUUCCCCAUCCCCACCA